Molecule: ribosomal RNA, 1005 nt
Filed under: Streptomyces scabiei
Lineage: Bacteria; Bacillati; Actinomycetota; Actinomycetes; Kitasatosporales; Streptomycetaceae
Description: bacterial SSU rRNA
Rfam family: Bacterial small subunit ribosomal RNA
Source: RNAcentral
GGGCAUGCUAGCUGUAGAGCUUGCUAGUGGCUCGAGUGAGCUCACUAUACAGAGUGUGAGGCACUGUAAGUAGGUCUGUAACGGGUGAGUAACACGUGGGCAAUCUGCCCUUCACUCUGGGACAAGCCCUGGAAACGGGGUCUAAUACCGGAUACGACACUCUCGGGCAUCCGAUGAGUGUGGAAAGCUCCGGCGGUGAAGGAUGAGCCCGCGGCCUAUCAGCUUGUUGGUGAGGUAACGGCUCACCAAGGCGACGACGGGUAGCCGGCCUGAGAGGGCGACCGGCCACACUGGGACUGAGACACGGCCCAGACUCCUACGGGAGGCAGCAGUGGGGAAUAUUGCACAAUGGGCGAAAGCCUGAUGCAGCGACGCCGCGUGAGGGAUGACGGCCUUCGGGUUGUAAACCUCUUUCAGCAGGGAAGAAGCGAAAGUGACGGUACCUGCAGAAGAAGCGCCGGCUAACUACGUGCCAGCAGCCGCGGUAAUACGUAGGGCGCGAGCGUUGUCCGGAAUUAUUGGGCGUAAAGAGCUCGUAGGCGGUCUGUCGCGUCGGAUGUGAAAGCCCGGGGCUUAACCCCGGGUCUGCAUUCGAUACGGGCAGACUAGAGUGUGGUAGGGGAGAUCGGAAUUCCUGGUGUAGCGGUGAAAUGCGCAGAUAUCAGGAGGAACACCGGUGGCGAAGGCGGAUCUCUGGGCCAUUACUGACGCUGAGGAGCGAAAGCGUGGGGAGCGAACAGGAUUAGAUACCCUGGUAGUCCACGCCGUAAACGGUGGGAACUAGGUGUUGGCGACAUUCCACGUCGUCGGUGCCGCAGCUAACGCAUUAAGUUCCCCGCCUGGGGAGUACGGCCGCAAGGCUAAAACUCAAAGGAAUUGACGGGGGCCCGCACAAGCAUCGGAGCAUGUGGCUUUAAUUCGACGCGACCGCGGAGUACCUUACCCAGGCUUGACAUACACGGGAAACGGCCAGAGAUGGUCGCCCCCCUUGUGGUCGGGGGUACA